ACGUGUCGCACUAAAACAUCCAAACACUCAUCAUUGUCUGCACUGGUUCAUGGUGGGAUUAUAUUUCACCCGAUUUAAGAAUAAAAAAUAAUAAAAAGACGUUUCGCCAUCGAAAUGUCACUUCAUGCUAAGUCCGCCUCGCUACCUAAAUGUCAUUUAUUUCACACGUGCUGCCUCUAAGAGCCGCCAUGGCCCCGGGGCGAGGUGCUCUUUGAACCCUUCUAUUGAACCCAUUUCCCCUGUCGUCAUUACCCGCACGUGCUGCAGACAGGAGGCAUGCAACCGGAAACGAGAGGCGAGGCGAUACCAUAUAAGGAGAGUCGACUUCAGCGAGCGUAAAUUGAAGCUAACGUGGGUAAAAUCCAAAACGAUUCACUUUUUCACGUUAUUGUGUGUGUUUACAUUUUUAUCCAAUCAAUUUAAUGUUUAAAAAAAAAACAAGCAGCGUCAUAAAUUAAUUAUUUUAUCUUCACGGAUUUUUCCUUUAGUCUUUACUGCUUUUUAGGUCCCAUUUAAGGGCUAAAGACAGAGCUGGUUUUUAGCUGUCCUUAACCCUUUAAUACCUGAAACCACAAAUUAUGGCCAGAAAAUUCAAAAUUAAAAUGUUUACUUCACUUACUACUGAAAACAAACCAAAAAAUUAAAAUGUCUUCAAACAUUUUUUUGAGCUCGUUUGAUACAUUAGAUGUUUUUGGAAACUGAUACACGACAAGAGGACAUUUUAAUCAUUUAUCAGACUGUAUUCAGGUGUUUUUUUUAGUAAUUUGUUGAUCAUAUUGAUUGAUAGAAGUAUAAAAGUGUGUAUCAAAUAUGGCAUUAUAGGAUUAAGUGUUUUGAAUAGCACAAUUUACACCAAAGUGUGUAAAUCCUCUUCAUUUUGACUGAACCGUGAAGCUGGCAAAGUGGAUUUGACCAAUCUUAUGUAAAUUUUUCUCUUACAUUUUCAGGGAAAUACACUCAUGGUGAACAGAGACAAACAGCGCCAGUCUGCGGCAGCUUUGACUGUGGUUUUCCAUGUCACUGACCUUGGUCCUGAACACCAGACUCCCCUAUACUGUACUGACCAAACUGCAAAGUUUCUGUCCUUUGGAAGACCUUACUGACUUAAAGUUUAUCAGUUAAUGUAAAUAGUGGUAAAUUACUGUGUUAUUUUCUAAAAUUGUUAUUAAGUGUUCUAGUUUAUUAUUUAUAUUUGCAGUCUAAGUUAUGGAAAUGGUUUGUUAAACAUAUUUGUGGUCUUAACAGUAGAAAAUGUUACUUUUUCCCACUCAGAUGUUGUGUUUUGUGUGUGAAUUUAGGUCCUCUGUGUUAAUACAGUAUGUAAAAAUGAUAAAAUAACUGUAAAUUCACACAGGUGAAGGCAACCAAGCAAGGCGAGGUUAACUGUUUUUAAGGGGAAAUAUGAAGGUAAAAUCAAAAGUAGUUAAAAAUAUUGAGCUACACUGAAAGCUCUACUGAACUUUGUAAUAUUAUUACACUUUGAAAACCAAGUUAAACCAAACCGACUGCUGUUUUUGCUUCAAGUUAGAAUCCAAAUGCUUCACUUUCUUACAGGCUAAAACAUUUGCCUGUGUCCCAUCUAACUGUGUUCCCACUAAAGUUAACGAUUUUCCUGUUUUUUUCCCUCUCCCUGAAUGAAACCCCAUAUAUUACAUGCAGUUUUUCGUUCAGGAGCUGUGGGGUUAUUUCGUGUGACUCAGAGAGAGAGAGAGGCCAGUUCCCCAUCGGUAGAUAUUGAAUAUCUAUCUCUGUACACACGGACUUCGAUAAUGAGGAGAGUGUCGGCCACCGUUUGCCCGCCGCCACGCCAUCAAAUAUUCAUCAGUGUUGAUUAAACAGCCGGCAGCUGCCGAUCGGCCGGGUGUCAAAUUUGUAUCCAGCUACCUCUGCACACACGAAGCCUGAAGACAGAGACACGGGGCUGAAAUCACCCACGAAAUAAUAUAGCAAAGAGUUCACAAAGUGUGUGCAUGUAGUCUAUUUAGGCCAAUGUUUGUGUGUGUGAAAUAAUCUGGCUGGGCUGAAGACGACAUUAAUGUUUUCAUUCUUUG
Molecule: non-coding RNA, 2051 nt
Organism: Xyrichtys novacula (pearly razorfish)
Lineage: Eukaryota; Metazoa; Chordata; Actinopteri; Labriformes; Labridae
Source: the annotation of a GenBank genome assembly